This 375-nucleotide ribosomal RNA is filed under the name uncultured bacterium. Its description in RNAcentral is "bacterial SSU rRNA". It matches the Rfam family "Bacterial small subunit ribosomal RNA", at positions 523 to 898 of the family's 1533-position model. The record is from RNAcentral.
AUACGUAGGGAGCGAGCGUUGUCCGGAAUUACUGGGCGUAAAGGGUGCGUAGGCGGCGCAGCAAGUCAGAUGUGAAAUCCCCGGGCUUAACUCGGGGGGUGCAUUUGAAACUGCUGUGCUUGAGUGCAGGAGAGGAAAGCGGAAUUCCUAGUGUAGCGGUGAAAUGCGUAGAUAUUAGGAAGAACACCAGUGGCGAAGGCGGCUUUCUGGACUGUAACUGACGCUGAGGCACGAAAGCGUGGGGAGCAAACAGGAUUAGAUACCCUGGUAGUCCACGCCGUAAACGAUGGAUACUAGGUGUGGGGGAGAUACAACCUCGGUGCCGGAGCAAACGCAAUAAGUAUCCCGCCUGGGGAGUACGGCCGCAAGGCUGAA